GAUGAACGCUGGCGGCGUGCCUAAUACAUGCAAGUCGAGCGAACAGACGAGGAGCUUGCUCCUCUGACGUUAGCGGCGGACGGGUGAGUAACACGUGGAUAACCUACCUAUAAGACUGGGAUAACUUCGGGAAACCGGAGCUAAUACCGGAUAAUAUAUUGAACCGCAUGGUUCAAUAGUGAAAGACGGUUUUGCUGUCACUUAUAGAUGGAUCCGCGCCGCAUUAGCUAGUUGUUAAGGUAACGGCUUACCAAGGCAACGAUGCGUAGCCGACCUGAGAGGGUGAUCGGCCACACUGGAAGUGAGACACGGUCCAGACUCCUACGGGAGGCAGCAGUAGGGAAUCUUCCGCAAUGGGCGAAAGCUUGACGGAGCAACGCCGCGUGAGUGAUGAAGGUCUUCGGAUCGUAAAACUCUGUUAUUAGGGAAGAACAAAUGUGUAAGUAACUAUGCACGUCUUGACGGUACCUAAUCAGAAAGCCACGGCUAACUACGUG
Molecule: ribosomal RNA, 497 nt
Filed under: uncultured bacterium
Lineage: Bacteria
Description: partial 16S ribosomal RNA
Rfam family: Bacterial small subunit ribosomal RNA
Source: RNAcentral